GAGUUUGAUCGUGGCUCAGGAUGAACGCUAGCUACAGGCUUAACACAUGCAAGUCGAGGGGCAGCAUGGUCUUAGCUUGCUAAGGCCGAUGGCGACCGGCGCACGGGUGAGUAACACGUAUCCAACCUGCCGUCUACUCUUGGACAGCCUUCUGAAAGGAAGAUUAAUACAAGAUGGCAUCAUGAGUCCGCAUGUUCACAUGAUUAAAGGUAUUCCGGUAGACGAUGGGGAUGCGUUCCAUUAGAUAGUAGGCGGGUAACGGCCCACCUAGUCUUCGAUGGAUAGGGGUUCUGAGAGGAAGGUCCCCCACAUUGGAACUGAGACACGGUCCAAACUCCUACGGGAGCAGCAGUGGGAAUAUUGCACAAUGGGCGAAAGCCUGAUGCAGCGACGCCGCGUGAGUGAAG
This 407-nucleotide ribosomal RNA is filed under the name uncultured bacterium. RNAcentral's name for it is "bacterial SSU rRNA". It matches the Rfam family "Bacterial small subunit ribosomal RNA", at positions 9 to 410 of the family's 1533-position model. The record is from RNAcentral.